This 492-nucleotide ribosomal RNA is filed under the name uncultured bacterium. RNAcentral describes it as "bacterial SSU rRNA". It matches the Rfam family "Bacterial small subunit ribosomal RNA", at positions 25 to 518 of the family's 1533-position model. The record is from RNAcentral.
CAGGACGAACGCUGGCGGCGCGCCUAACACAUGCAAGUCGAACGGAGCUGUUUCUCUGAAGUUUCGGAUGGAAGAGAGUCAGCUAGUGGCGAACGGGUGAGUAACACGUGAGCAACCUGCCUUUCAGUGGGGGACAACAUUUGGAAACGAAUGCUAAUACCGCAUAAGACCACAGUGUCGCAUGGCACAGGGGUCAAAGGAUUUAUCCGCUGAAAGAUGGGCUCGCGUCCGAUUAGCUAGAUGGUGAGGUAACGGCCCACCAUGGCGACGAUCGGUAGCCGGACUGAGAGGUUGAACGGCCACAUUGGGACUGAGACACGGCCCAGACUCCUACGGGAGGCAGCAGUGGGGAAUAUUGCACAAUGGGGGAAACCCUGAUGCAGCGACGCCGCAUGGAGGAAGAAGGUCUUCGGAUUGUAAACUCCUGUCCCAGGGGACGAUAAUGACGGUACCCUGGGAGGAAGCACCGGCUAACUACGUGCCAGCAGCCGC